Molecule: long non-coding RNA, 851 nt
Filed under: Homo sapiens (human)
Lineage: Eukaryota; Metazoa; Chordata; Mammalia; Primates; Hominidae
Description: long intergenic non-protein coding RNA 929
Source: RNAcentral
GGGGCUCUUCAAGUAUUUGACUUAUGACCUAAGUAGCUGGGCAGGCUGCCUUCUGCAGAAUUCCACAUUAAACAGGAUGAAGAAUAGGUUGUUAGCAGACUGAGGUACUUGGGGCAACAUUUCGUACACAACAGGAGGGAGAAACGACUCCAGAAAAACAAUCAGAUUUUGGUGAAACUGAUGUUUGCAAGUGUGAGUGAGCCCCAUGUGCUGAAGCUUCAGGAACCCCUGAGAUGGCACAAGUUCUGCCGUACUGGGCAACGGAUGGUCUUGAAGCACACAAGACACUGGAAGACAUGAGGGCAAUUGCUACACGCCAAGCCCGGUGCCAAGCACGUUGUGCAGGUUGUUUCGUUGAUUCCGGGCCUGGCCUUUGAGAUCUGUGGAGGAUACCAUGAACUGGCUGGCUCUGCAUCCUGCUUGCAGGCGCUGGCAAGCUGGAACCUGCUUUUCUACGCCACACUGCAGAGGGCCCUGAAUGUGAUCUAUGAUUGCAACAAGCAGCCCUGAUGCGGAUCCGGAGGGCAGGGAUGACGUGGGGGCUGCCUUUCUGGUUGACCUGCUGGUUGUCUUGUGGUAGAGGAGAUUUUGCCUUGCAAUUUUACAUACUUAUGCUACGUGGAAGGCUGGGUGGCGUGACUUCAGGAAAGAGACACACAGAGAGAGAGAGAAAGAGAGAAAGAGAGAACCCACCUACCUGUUUUGCAAAAGUCUCAUGAAUCAUCCCUUCCUGUGGUCCUGCUCCCUGAGAUCCUUUCACCGCUCACAGUGGGCUACUUCUAAGAGCGUGCCUGGCACAGGGUCACUGAGAGCAUAGUCUUAAUAAAACAAUGAUGGAUGCUUGUCUCUCU